Non-coding RNA from Musa acuminata subsp. malaccensis (wild Malaysian banana), 1848 nucleotides. NCBI's taxonomy places the organism in Eukaryota, Viridiplantae, Streptophyta, Magnoliopsida, Zingiberales, Musaceae. The record is from RefSeq and is a predicted model, not a curated record.
GAUCGUCAGUUGCGUCAGUGGUCAGUGGUUGGUUGUCAGCCUCUCAUUAUAGCUUUCUCAUCAAUAAAUAUCUAAACCAAAUUCGAUCCCCUUUUUAUUUUAAAUCCUCCCAAAUUAGAUAACCAAACUCGAUUUCAAUAAAUCAAGACGUCAGUAUAAAAAAAAUAUAUUCGUUACUGUAAUAAUUUAAAAAUAGAUAGAUUAUUAGGUUAUCUCAAUUUCGAUUCUGUUUAAUGUUUUUGAAGAGAGCGAAAUAAUAUUUUGCAGAUAUAGGAAAAAAUGAAGGGUUUUUUUUUUCGGGAAUUCGCUCGUAAAACAGAUCCGUAUAAUUGAAUUCCCGAUCCGUUACAGCCGCUGUAACAGAACGUUACAUUAGUAGUUAUCACCCAGCGCACACGUGGCGUCCAAGCUUGCCGUUUUGAAGGGGAGAGGGGAUGGCGGUUUAAAUGGGCGGUGGAAUCGAACGGCGGGCUCGUGGCCUAAGGUUUCCUAAUCCGUCUCUCCGCACCUCUUCGUCUCGCUUCGGCGAUCUUUAGGGUAGGGUUUGGAGUUCUUUUGGGUCUUCGGUGUCAUUGCUCUUCCGCGUCCGGCGGAAGCGCCGGCCAAUUCAACGAGCGCAAUUUGGUGAUUAAUGUUGGCUUCUUUUUAUCCUAUUUUGUUGAAUUUCUUUGUUAAUUGUAACUCCUUUCGCCGUCUACUCGCUUUUGAUCUUGAAUUCGAUGGAGUGCCUGACGAUUUGUUGUCGGUUUCAAUCGAUUAUUUGAUGGAAUCUUUGAUGUCUCAUCCGAUGAUCAUCCGGCCUAAUUUCUCCAUAGCCAGUGAAAAUCUCAUGGUAUGUGUUUUUCCUCUUUUGUUACGCCCGUCAUUUGAAGGGUAACGGAACACAGAAUUGGGCGCUGUAGCUGAUGUUUUAAGUAUUAGGGAUUUUGUGCCAGAAACUAAUGGAUUUUCUUCAAAUCGUGGUAAUGAUGCUUUAAGUAUUAGGGUUUUGUGCCAGAAACUGAUGGAUUUUCUUUAAAUCGUGAUACGAUCCUUGAAAUUAAUUCUUCUUCUGCUGGUAACGGGAUGGUAUGCCUUUACCGAUCUAUUGGUGUCUACUCUCUGGCAUUGUCAUGUUCUUCAUUAUGCAUGUUUUAUCGAGGAAUGAGGUUAGAUUUGAGAACAUUGAACCGAGUAAGGUUCUUCAUUUACUGGCAUGUAUUAUGCUGAUAAUGUGCUGGGAUAUUAGAGUUCUACAAGAAGAUCUUUGUUAAAGAAUAUAGUUUUUUUUUUUUAAGUGGAUGAUUUGCUGCAUGGUUGGGCAAUAUCAUCUGAAGUUACCAAUAAUCGCAUCAGAAAGUUGAUGUAAGUUCCUCUGUUAGUACAGAUCUGGUGGGCGUUUAAUAUUGAAUCUGAACUCAUAUUAGCAAUAGCCAAUAACCUCCUUGUAAUUUUUCAAAAAGAAGCCCCUUAUAGAAGUCUUUUCCCUUACAUUUUUGGUUGUACAGAUUUGAAUUAGGGUGUGCAGUUCGGCUUGGAUGCCAACCAGCGAAAUACUAAGUUGGCAGGUCAGGUUUUACCAUGCCGAUAUGCUGAAUCUGUGCCACCUUGAUGGAGAUCUGACAUGCAGCAAAUUUGGACUUGCCAAGCAUUAAAUAGCAAAGAAGCAAAUGAACUUGAUGGUCUUGCAGGGCUUGGGAAGAAUCUUCAACAUGCCAACUUUGUGGUUCAUAUACAAAAGUUGUGGGCGCCCUCCUAUUCGGUCGUUUUGCGUAGGGCAAAGUUGACUUGUUUGUUUCUUUCAUUUGACGCUGAGAAUUUGGCAAAUAGCUUCAAAUGAGAGAAGAAUGGGCUAAGAUAAAGUUAGGA